UUGGUCCUAAACUUGCCGUUGUUUUUAGUAAAAAUUACACAUGCAAGCCUCAACAAACCAGUGAGAAUGCCCACAAAUUCCUAAACAGAAAGCAGGAGCAGGCAUCAGGAGCACCAACCAGUUAGCCUACAACGCCUUGCUACGCCACACCCACAAGGGCCAUCAGCAGUGAAAAGUAUUAAAAAUAAGCGAAAGCUUGAUUUAGUUAUUAUUAAACCUGGUUGGUUAAUUUCGUGCCAGCCACCGCGGUUAUACGAAAAACCAGAAACAACAGCCCGCGGCGUAAAGAGUGAUAAAAGACCCAUUUACUUAAAGAAAAAUUACAGCAGAGUUGUAAAACACUACUGACUGCAAGAACCACAACAAAAACUAAGCCUUUAACCCGCUUAACCUCACGAAAACUAAGAAACAAACUGGGAUUAGAUACCCCACUAUGCUUAGCCGUAAACAAAAACAGUACAGAUACAACACUGUUCGCCAGAGAACUACAAGCAUAAAACUCAAAACUCUAAGGACUUGGCGGUGUCCCAUAUCAACCUAGAGGAGCCUGUCCUAUAAUCGAUACCCCCCGAUCCACCCCACCCUCCCUAGAAACUCAGCCUAUAUACCGCCGUCGCCAGCCUACCCCAUGAGGGGAUCAAAGUAAGCAAAACAGCCACAGGCUAGAACGUCAGGUCAAGGUGUAGCACAUGGAAGGGAAGAG
This 703-nucleotide ribosomal RNA is filed under the name Lampropholis delicata. Its description in RNAcentral is "partial 12S ribosomal RNA". It matches the Rfam family "Bacterial small subunit ribosomal RNA", at positions 13 to 1219 of the family's 1533-position model. The record is from RNAcentral. Lineage: Eukaryota; Metazoa; Chordata; Lepidosauria; Squamata; Scincidae.